ACGGCUCAGUAACACGUAUCCAACUGCCGAUAACUCCGGAAUAGCCUUUCGAAAGAAAGAUUAAUACCGGAUAGUAUACGAAUAUCGCAUGAUAUUUUUAUUAAAGAAUUUCGGUUAUCGAUGGGGAUGCGUUCCAUUAGUUUGUUGGCGGGGUAACGGCCCACCAAGACUACGAUGGAUAGGGGUUCUGAGAGGAAGGUCCCCCACAUUGGAACUGAGACACGGUCCAAACUCCUACGGGAGGCAGCAGUGAGGAAUAUUGGUCGAUGGGCGCAGGCCUGAACCAGCCAAGUAGCGUGAAGGAUGAAGGCUCUAUGGGUCGUAAACUUCUUUUAUAUGGGAAUAAAGUAUUCCACGUGUGGAAUUUUGUAUGUACCAUAUGAAUAAGGAUCGGCUAACUCCGUGCCAGCAGCCGCGGUAAUACGGAGGAUCCGAGCGUUAUCCGGAUUUAUUGGGUUUAAAGGGAGCGUAGGUGGAUUGUUAAGUCAGUUGUGAAAGUUUGCGGCUCAACCGUAAAAUUGCAGUUGAAACUGGCAGUCUUGAGUACAGUAGAGGUGGGCGGAAUUCGUGGUGUAGCGGUGAAAUGCUUAGAUAUCACGAAGAACUCCGAUUGCGAAGGCAGCUCACUAGACUGUUACUGACACUGAUGCUCGAAAGUGUGGGUAUCAAACAGGAUUAGAUACCCUGGUAGUCCACACAGUAAACGAUGAAUACUCGCUGUUUGCGAUAUACAGUAAGCGGCCAAGCGAAAGCAUUAAGUAUUCCACCUGGGGAGUACGCCGGCAACGGUGAAACUCAAAGGAAUUGGCGG
Molecule: ribosomal RNA, 811 nt
Filed under: uncultured bacterium
Lineage: Bacteria
Description: bacterial SSU rRNA
Rfam family: Bacterial small subunit ribosomal RNA
Source: RNAcentral